UGGCUCUCGCAUCGAUGAAGAACGCAGCGAAAUGCGAUAAGUAAUGUGAAUUGCAGAAUUCAGUGAAUCAUCGAAUCUUUGAACGCACCUUGCGCUCCUUGGUAUUCCGAGGAGCAUGCCUGUUUGAGUGUCUUGAAGUCAUCAACCGAGCCCUGUGUUCCAUCCGUGGAACCGGGCGAGGCUGGAAUCUGGGGGCAAUGCUGCCGCUAGGCUGCUCCCCUCAAAUGCAUCGGUUGGGCCUGUGGGUCGAACUCGACUGGGCGUUGUACCAUCCUCGCUCUCCACGAGAAGGACCCCUGACGUGCCCUCCCGCGACCGGCCUGUGGAGCGGCGGUCAACACACACUUUGAAAUCUGACCUCAAAUCAGGUAGGACUACCCGCUGA
RNAcentral lists this unclassified non-coding RNA (385 nucleotides) under uncultured fungus. Its description in RNAcentral is "partial contains 5.8S ribosomal RNA and internal transcribed spacer 2". The stretch from base 1 to 133 matches the Rfam family "5.8S ribosomal RNA", at positions 22 to 154 of the family's 154-position model. Lineage: Eukaryota; Fungi. The record is from RNAcentral.